This is a long non-coding RNA of Herpailurus yagouaroundi (jaguarundi), 1681 nucleotides long. RefSeq lists it as uncharacterized. The transcript has 3 exons. NCBI's taxonomy places the organism in Eukaryota, Metazoa, Chordata, Mammalia, Carnivora, Felidae. The record is from RefSeq and is a predicted model, not a curated record.
GCCGGGCGCACGGAGCGGGAAAUGCGGCCGCAUCCCGGAGGUGCCGGCCGGGGACCUCCGCCCUCCCCGGCGGAAGCCCGAGGGGGUCUCGGUGUCCUCAAGCGGCAGCUGAGGCCAACCUCUGCGCGCAGGACCGCGAAGCCGGGCAGCCGCGUCGGCUCCUGCGGGGUGUUGUCUUUCGUUAGUUACUCCCGAGCUUUCCCGCUUCCCAGCCCCGUGAAUACCGCCUGCACUUCUCAGAAGAGCAGCCUGCCGGUGGCUCCGGCACGCGCUGCAGUCCUGCGUUUGCGCCGCUAGGGGGAGAGCCCCUCGGGUUUGGGCCCGAGCGAAGCUUGGCCGCGUUUGCAGCCCUCGAGGGAAACUGCCCAGUCCUGAGGGCCAGGCGAAAAGCCUCCAGCUUAUGAUGCCGGGAACGGACCGCCUGGGUUUCUACCCCCCUGCCCCCCGCUUCUCAAUUCUGUAAAUAUUUAUUCUGCAUGUGUUCCAGACCUGGCCGUCGUCCUCCCAGAACUCACAGCCCCCGGAGCAAACAGCAGUGACCUGAAGAUUCCAGGAUUCACUCAAUCCAUUCAGACUUCACAACAGUGUGACCACAUCUUUCAGCCUUUGAUAUGACUCUGGACAGCCAAAAGUAGACAUGUCUCUUCUGGUAGCAGUAGACACUCUUCCUUGAUUUCAAGUUCCUUACUGACUCCCUUCUUUCUCUCUCAGUCCCUGAGCUCCUCAGUCUGAGGACCGGAAGGGUAUGUGUAGAACAGACAUUGAACACCCUUGGGGUAAAGAGGGUUGUUGUUGAUGAUUUUAGUUCUGCUAACAUUUGGUAAUUCAGAAACCUUUCUAGUCCACAGAAUAGUGCUUUUGUCACAGAAUUUUAAACGAAUGAACUAAGUUAUGAACUAAAUUACAAUUCUGAAACGUAGAUGUCCUAAACUUUAAUACAUUUGCUUUUUAUAUGCUGAUUCUUAUCUCACCAGCCUUUUCUCUGGACGUAAAUUCUGUCAUGGCUUCAGAUAGGUGCCCUUCCUUUCCUUUCUGUUUGCCAAACAGGUCAGGCCCCCUCUUUAUUUUUCUUGAAUCACAUUCACUGUGACCUUGAAUGAUUUGAACGAGAAUUUUGUGCUAUGGCUAUGUUUAUGUGAUACAUUGGGAGACACUCUGGUGCCACAAAUAGUAAUUCUGCCUCAGAAGUUUCCAAAUGAUCUUUCUGAGUGAAGAGUGUCAUGGGAAUGUAUUUAAAAAAAAUUUUUUUGUUAAGUUUAUUUAUUUAUCUGACCAACAGUCAGACAGACACCCAACCAAUGGAGCCACCCAGGUGCUCUAACAUACUAUCUUUUUUAAAUGAUUAUAUGCUUCUCCCUGAACCAACCUCCAUGGCCAAUAACGGCCAGGCUCCCACUCCUGAAGUUGGGUCAGUCCUCCUCAAACCACAUGGCUGAUGGAGGACAGAGCAAGACCUACAUACCACAAAGAGCAGGAAAUGGACAGAGGCAAACAAAGACAUCAACUACUGUGUUCAUUUCAGGCUUAUAAUAGUGAAAGAUGAAACACUUUAACCUAAAUAUACAGAAUAAGGGAAUAGUACAUAAAUUGAUAUAUCUUUACAGUGUUAAAUUAUGCAUCUGUUAAGAUACCACAUCCACAGAUUUAUUUUAUCUUAUUUUUUAUUAAAAAAAUUUUUUUU